RNAcentral lists this ribosomal RNA (423 nucleotides) under uncultured bacterium. RNAcentral describes it as "bacterial SSU rRNA". It matches the Rfam family "Bacterial small subunit ribosomal RNA", at positions 207 to 622 of the family's 1533-position model. The record is from RNAcentral.
AAGACCUUGCGCUUUUGGAGCGGCCGAUGCCUGAUUAGCUUGUUGGUAAGGUAAAGGCUUACCAAGGCUUCGAUCAGUAGCUGGUCUGAGAGGACGACCAGCCACACUGGGACUGAGACACGGCCCAGACUCCUACGGGAGGCAGCAGUGGGGAAUUUUGGACAAUGGGGGCAACCCUGAUCCAGCCAUGCCGCGUGAGUGAAGAAGGCCUUCGGGUUGUAAAGCUCUUUCAGCCGGAACGAAACGGUUACGGAUAACACCCGUGACUACUGACGGUACCGGAAGAAGAAGCACCGGCUAACUACGUGCCAGCAGCCGCGGUAAUACGUAGGGUGCGAGCGUUAAUCGGAAUUACUGGGCGUAAAGCGUGCGCAGGUGGUUUUGUAAGUCAGAUGUGAAAGCCCCGGGCUCAACCUGGGAACU